UCUAACAUGUGCGCGAGUCAUUGGGAAGAAAUAAAACCUAAAGGCGAAAUGAAAGUGAAGAUCGGCCUUAGCGUCGAUCUAGGGAGGAUGGGCGCCGUAACCAUGGCGCCUCGCACUCCCGGGGCGUCUCGUUCUCACUGCGAGAAGAGGCGCACCUAGAGCGUACACGUUGGGACCCGAAAGAUGGUGAACUAUGCCUGGUCAGGACGAAGUCAGGGGAAACCCUGAUGGAGGUCCG
This 238-nucleotide ribosomal RNA is filed under the name Campsomeris sp. JMC-1999. RNAcentral describes it as "partial 28S ribosomal RNA". It matches the Rfam family "Eukaryotic large subunit ribosomal RNA", at positions 674 to 877 of the family's 3401-position model. The record is from RNAcentral. Lineage: Eukaryota; Metazoa; Arthropoda; Insecta; Hymenoptera; Scoliidae.